GCUCAGGAUGAACGCUGGCGGCGUGCUUAACACAUGCAAGUCGAACGGGAAAUAUUUCAUUGAGACUUCGGUGGAUUUGAUCUAUUUCUAGUGGCGGACGGGUGAGUAACGCGUGGGUAACCUGCCUUAUACAGGGGGAUAACAGUCAGAAAUGGCUGCUAAUACCGCAUAAGCGCACAGAGCUGCAUGGCUCAGUGUGAAAAACUCCGGUGGUAUAAGAUGGACCCGCGUUGGAUUAGCUUGUUGGUGGGGUAACGGCCCACCAAGGCGACGAUCCAUAGCCGGCCUGAGAGGGUGAACGGCCACAUUGGGACUGAGACACGGCCCAGACUCCUACGGGAGGCAGCAGUA
RNAcentral lists this ribosomal RNA (351 nucleotides) under uncultured bacterium. RNAcentral's name for it is "bacterial SSU rRNA". It matches the Rfam family "Bacterial small subunit ribosomal RNA", at positions 22 to 356 of the family's 1533-position model. The record is from RNAcentral.